AGAGUUUGAUCCUGGCUCAGAUUGAACGCUGGCGGUAUGCUUAACACAUGCAAGUCGAACGGAAACGAUACUAGCUUGCUAGUAGGCGUCGAGUGGCGGACGGGUGAGUAACGCGUAGGAAUCUGCCUGAUAGUGGGGGAUAGCCCGAAGAAAUUCGGAUUAAUACCGCAUAAUCUAUUCGUAGUAAAGUGGGGGACUUUCGAGCCUCACGCUAUCAGAUGAGCCUGCGUAAGAUUAGCUUGUUGGUAGGGUAAAAGCCUACCAAGGCAACGAUCUUUAGCUGGUCUGAGAGGACGAUCAGCCACAUUGGGACUGAGACACGGCCCAGACUUCUACGGAAGGCAGCAGUUAGGAAUAUUGGACAAUGGGGGCAACCCUGAUCCAGCUAUACCGCGUGUGUGAAGAAGGCCCUAGGGUUGUAAAGCACUUUAAGCAGGGAAGAAGCAUGUUAAGUUAAUACCUUAACAUGUUGACGUUACCUGAAGAAUAAGGACCGGCUAACUCCGUGCCAGCAGCCGCGGUAAUACGGAGGGUGCAAGCGUUAAUCGGAAUUACUGGGCGUAAAGCGCGCGUAGGCGGUUUAAUAAGUUGUAUGUGAAAGCCCUGGGCUCAACCUAGGAACUGCAUAUAAAACUAUUAAGCUAGAGGACGAGAGAGGAGAGUAGAAUUUCAGGUGUAGCGGUGAAAUGCGUAGAUAUCUGAAGGAAUACCAAUGGCGAAGGCAGCUCUCUGGCUCGUUUCUGACGCUAAGGUGCGAAAGCGUGGGUAGCAAACAGGAUUAGAUACCCUGGUAGUCCACGCCGUAAACGAUGAUAACUAGCCGUUGGGCAGAUUUAACUGUUCAGUGGCACAGCUAACGCAUUAAGUUAUCCGCCUGGGGAGUACGGCCG
RNAcentral lists this ribosomal RNA (890 nucleotides) under marine metagenome. Its description in RNAcentral is "bacterial SSU rRNA". It matches the Rfam family "Bacterial small subunit ribosomal RNA", at positions 8 to 888 of the family's 1533-position model. The record is from RNAcentral.